Molecule: transfer RNA, 69 nt
Filed under: Marmota monax (woodchuck)
Lineage: Eukaryota; Metazoa; Chordata; Mammalia; Rodentia; Sciuridae
Description: tRNA.Ala
Source: RNAcentral
GGGCAUAGCUCAGUGGUAGAGUGCAUGUUUAGCAUGUAUGGGGCCCUGGGUUCAACUCCAAGCAGCACA